This 709-nucleotide ribosomal RNA is filed under the name uncultured bacterium. RNAcentral describes it as "bacterial SSU rRNA". It matches the Rfam family "Bacterial small subunit ribosomal RNA", at positions 75 to 769 of the family's 1533-position model. The record is from RNAcentral.
UCUCUUCGGGGAUGAUUAAACCGGCGCACGGGUGCAGUAACACGUGAGUGACCUGCCUUUUAGACUGGAACAACUUACCGAAAGGUGAGCUAAUGCCGGAUGAGUUAUAUAAGUGCAUGUUUAUAUAGGAAAAGUUGGGGAGACCUGACGCUGAAAGAUGGACUCGCGUCCCAUUAGCUAGUUGGUAGGGUAAUGGCCUACCAAGGCGACGAUGGGUAGCCGGCCUGAGAGGGUGGCCGGCCACACUGGGACUGAGACACGGCCCAGACUCCUACGGGAGGCAGCAGUGGGGAAUUUUGCGCAAUGCUCGUAAGAGUGACGCAGCGACGCCGCGUGAAUGACGAAGGCCUUCGGGUCGUAAAGUUCUUUCGACAGGGAAGAAAAUGCCUAUAAGUAACUGUGUAUGUAUUGACGGUACCUGUAUAAGCAGCCCCGGCUAACUCCGUGCCAGCAGCCGCGGUAAUACGGAGGGGGCGAGCGUUGUUCGGAGUGACUGGGCGUAAAGAGCACGUAGGCGGUGUUGUAAGUCAUUAGUCAAAGACUAGAGCUCAACUUUAGUAAGGCUAGUGAUACUAUAAUACUAGAGUAUCAGAGAGGAUUGCAGAAUUCCUGGUGUAGCGGUGAAAUGCGUAGAUAUCAGGAGGAAUACCGUUAGCGAAGGCGGCAAUCUGGCUGGAAACUGACGCUGAGGUGCGAAAGCGUGGGUAGC